CGUUUGGAAAAUGUGUUCACGCAAAAUUUUGUACAAUUUCUCAUGAAAUUUGUAACUUCACACCACCAAAGCGUAAGUUGAAAUUUAGCAUAUUUUUUUUUACAUAUGUAUAAACCUUCUCUGACAAGUAUAUUAUUUUAAGUCGUCUUAAACAGUUGACAAACAUUUUUUUUGGUCAUUUUACAUGAACUGUUUAUCAUACCUUUUGUUCACUUAAUUCUUAAAUCCAGUGUGCUGUUUUGUAUUUCCUUUGCUUUGAUUAAGAUGUUUUCUCUUGAGAAGUAUUUAAUUUGCGGUUUUUGUUAUUGUAAACUACUCACUUCGAUUCGUGAAAAAAGGCGACUAUUUUCUACUGUAAACCACAAGCAUGUGUGCUACUGUUUUUUUACUGUAACUGAAUUAUUUUAUUACAUCUAUUAUGAACUGUGAAUUUGCUUAGACUAUUAUGACAAUCAUUGUAUAACACAAGUUGAAUAUUGAACAUUUCAUUUGACAAAAAGAAAAAAAAGAUGAUUUAAAACCAAAUAUUGUGUUUUUAGCAUUGAUACUUUAUUGUGUACUGUUAUGCUAAAUUUUUGUAAUGCUAAUUGUUAGUAAGAAUUGCUUAUUUUGUAUUUUUCAGUUUUUCACCCUCUCCGGAGGUUUGUUUAUCAAGUAAAGAAUUUGAAGUCUUAUUAGUCUUUCUUGUGAGCCAUAACAAGUGUUCUGGCAUAUAUGAAACGAAUCGCCAUCUAAAAAUUCUACAAAACAAACGACAACACGAUUUGGUUGACCGUAAUUGAAUUUACGGGUCAACAUCUGCGUCUUCAAUAUUUCCUCUAAAUGUUUUCCAUUAGUUACAAACAAUAACUGGAUUAUAUUCCAUUUGCAUGAUGUGGAAACAUACUUAUCAUAAAUGAAUUGCAUCAUAAAGACUCAG
RNAcentral lists this long non-coding RNA (919 nucleotides) under Mytilus galloprovincialis (Mediterranean mussel). Lineage: Eukaryota; Metazoa; Mollusca; Bivalvia; Mytilida; Mytilidae. The record is from RNAcentral.